CGGGGGAAGAAGGGAGAGGCAGGGCACGAUCGAUCUAACAAGGGGAAGGGCGAUCUGUGGGGCACAAUGGUGAGGAAGGAAAAAGGGAGGCCAGGAUGGUGGGACGCUGGCUCCAAGAGCCAACUGGCAGCACUAGGGAAGAAAGAGAGCUUGGGAACUGUCGAUCCGACAUGGGGAUGGUGGAUCCGAGGUGGGGACGACGGUGUGAGGCUGAGGGGAGGAGGC
This 225-nucleotide long non-coding RNA is filed under the name Elaeis guineensis (African oil palm). RNAcentral's name for it is "long non-coding RNA (EGUI_LNC026160)". Lineage: Eukaryota; Viridiplantae; Streptophyta; Magnoliopsida; Arecales; Arecaceae. The record is from RNAcentral.